RNAcentral lists this long non-coding RNA (3301 nucleotides) under Physcomitrium patens. RNAcentral's name for it is "long non-coding RNA (PPAT_LNC004665)". The record is from RNAcentral. Lineage: Eukaryota; Viridiplantae; Streptophyta; Bryopsida; Funariales; Funariaceae.
GCAGUGGAGAUGUAAGUGAAACUGGCCAUACAUACUUUUUUAUGUAAGUAAAAUCAUGCCAGUUUCACUUACAGUAAGCAUGAUUUUACUUUUUUAUUUUUAAAAUAUUGUCAUUAUAUACUAAUUGUUUUUCUUUUUGUCUUUUUUUCUUUUUACCAGCAGUAACAACAUUAUAAUAUUAUCAAAGGUUGCAGUUUGAAAUCACAACUUUCUUUGGGAUUUAAAAUGGUGUUGGAUUUAAAUAUUUAUAUUAAUUUGUGUUUAUACUUUAUCAUAAAGUAAGAUUACACUAUCACAGAGAGUUAUCAGAAACACUGUAUGCAUUGUUUGUCAUAGGAGACCAUUUAUGAAGGACUUGGUCAUAGGUAUGUGAAGGAUGAAGUGCUCUGCUGAAAUAUUUAGCUCUUGCACAUUAAACCUAAAUAUAUCUUCAUGUGUUUAGAACACAUCAUUUAUUAUUUUUAGAACAAAUAAUAAAAAUGGAGAAGUAUCAAUGAGUCUAAAUUUUGAAUUCAAGUUUGUUUGAUGAAUGUUUUUGUGAGAAUUUGACUAACCAAAUUUCAAAAAAAUAAUUGCAUGACACUCACUAAAGAAAGUGCCUACAAUAAAAAUAAAAAAACGAAAUAGGUACAAGGAAACAGAGGUAGGAAUUUAAUGAGCAAGAAAGACUAGAUCCACCCAAAUGUGUGCAACAUAAUGAAGCAACCAUCAUCACUUUUGCUUUACAAAUCAAUGUCAAUUCUAUGGUUAGGCUACUUCUUGAAAUCCAAUGCUUCAUGUUGGGGGCUCUUGUUUGAUGACAAACAAAAGGGAAAAAAAAACACUGCCAACAACUUAUAAACCAUGACUCAUGAACUUCAUGACCUUUAUCAGAUUGAAUAUUUAUUUAUUUGUUUAUUUAUUUAUUUUUGCUUGGCAUAUGUGAAAAACACCAAAAUCUAGUGUUGCUGAUGUGUUUGAUAUGGUUCAACUACUCUGAAUUUGCCCUAAAUUUCUAUUAUUAAUAUCAAAGAGGCCCACCUUUACCACUGGAGAUAUGUGGCAAAAUUAAUGUACACCCAAUUUGGGUACAUACAAUACCAUACAAAUGUUAUAAUGCAAAAAAAAUAAAAAAUGUGACUUGUUGUUAAUAAUUAAACACAUCUUUUGAAUUUUCAUUAUGGAACAUGAAUUAUAAAAAAAGAAUCAGAUGUGAUUGUAUAAAGUAUUUAGCCAUAUUAGUUAAAUAAUUAACAUUUUGUAUGGGACUAAAAACCAAAAAUAAAUUCUAAGAUCUUAGUUUAGUCUAAAUCUAAGAGGAAUACAAUUUUUUUUAAGAACUUUAUUAUAGAACAUAAAAUUACUUGACUAUUAUUUUUUUAAAUUACACAUUGUUUUACAAAGUUACACAUUAUUUAGACAAAGUUCAAUUGACUUGUGAGGAGAAACACAUUCAAAUCUUAGCUAUGUAAAUUGCAUUUACCAUGUUUUUGGUUAUUUAAAUUCAUUUAUUUAUAGUUUAGAUAUUUGGUAUUAAUUUUUUAUAAUAAAAUAUGUAUUUAAAAUAAAUAGUAUGAAAAAAAUUAUGAAAUUUUUACUUCUUAGUAGAUAUCACCCAACAAGAAUUUAAUUCGAUGAAAUUCACAUCAAACUUCAUUUAAUCUAUUUGUAUAUUGGACUUCUUAAGUUGACUUUAUUAGGUGCAGUCAUGCUUACAUUAAUUGAAUAAAGGAUAAGUCACGUCUUAAGCAUUUUAAAGAAUUUUGUGUAAACUUUUUGUAUAUAAGAAAUAAAUUUAUCAUGAGAUUUUUUUCAAAUUAUAUAUAUGUUUUUAUUUUACAUUGUGAUAUUUAAUUGUUAUUAUGUUUUAGAUCUAUUUGUCUUUUUUGAAUUUUAAAUUAAAGUUAGAAAUUUUCUUGCUUAUAUAUAUAUAUAUAUAUAUAUACUAAGAAUCUGAAGUUGUCAUUAGUCUACAACGUCUUGUUAAAGAAAUUUCACAUAGAUAUUGAGACAUAUUUAAAUAAUAUUUUUAAUAUAGUUAAUUAAAAACAAAAAUAUUAUUUAAAUAUGUCUAAAUGAAAAUUUGACCCAAGCAUUUACUAAAUUAACUCACCUAUUCUUGCCAUCAUCAAAAAAUUCUCAACUGCCAGAUCUGCGUUGGUUGAAAACCAAUAAAAAAUUGGUUGGAGCUUCAACCAAUUAUAGUUGACUAACUUCUUAUAGAAAUUUAUUAAGUGUUAUAUAUAUAUAUAUAUAUAUAUAUAUAUAUAUAUUCAAUGUGCAUGUUUUGUUCCUGUGUACAAUCAUAGUUUCACAAUUGAUUUUCUCAUUAUUAAUUUUUUUGCUAUUUGUGAUUAAUAUUUAAUUAAUAUAAUAUUGUAUUUUGGUUAAUGACUUGAAAUAAUUCUCAUCGAUUUGCAUGAAUUUUUGUUUUUAAUCACAUAUCAUGUAUGCUUUGAUCAAUAUUGCAUUAAUAGAUAUCAUUUAAAAAAAAUGAGCUUGUUUAAAUAUAGAAAAAUAAUAACAUGAGCCUACAAAGUAAGUUUUAAAAAUUCAAUUUCAAAUAUUUGAAACAAAUAAUUUGGUACUCAACUUUUACCAAUGAAUUAAUUUGGUUGACAAAGCAUUGAAUCCUUCACUUUGUGGCAUCAAAUUGCCAAAUAUGCAUGAAGGAUUUAUGCAAUUUUGAUAUAUACGUAUAUAUACAAUCCUGAAAAGAAAGUAUGUUGAUUGAUAAUUGCUGCAUGGGUUUUUUUAAAAAAUUGGACACGUAAUAACAUUGGCUAUUUAGCAAAGCAUUUAUAAAUAAAAAUAUAGAUUUUUAAAUUUUUGUGGAAAGAAAUAUAUUGUAACAAAUUAAAAGAGAUUGUAAACCACAAUUUGCUGUUGUAUUUGUGUGUUUCUUUUAUAUAUUUAAGGUAUCCUUUAAAUAUCAAAUAUACAUAUAUAUAUAUAUAUAUAUAUAUGUGUAUCACAAAAUUAUAAAACUUCUAAAACAGUCUUUUACAAACCCCUCAAAUCACAAAACACAAUUCAUGUUUGUAAGAACCAUGUAAGUUUUUCUAAAUUCUCAAAGAUCAAUUUCCAAACACAAUCUUACUCAUUAUCAUCAUCAUUAUUGUUACUCUUAUCCUAAUUAUUUUUAUUCAUUACAUCCAGUUCUUCUACUUCCUCUCAUCCUAAAACAAAAAAAAAAUCACAAAACUGAAGCAAGAUCAAGGAUGGGUCGGUCAAAUGAAGAGAAACAAAAACAAAACAAAAGUGGCAAGACACAAAAGGAAGAAGAAGUGGCCGGAAUUGAAAAAAAAUAAAACAAAAACAA